AUUGAACGCUGGCGGAAUGCUUUACACAUGCAAGUCGAACGGCAGCACGGGGGCAGCCCUGGUGGCGAGUGGCGAACGGGCGAGUAAUACAUCGGAACGUGCCCGGUCGUGGGGGAUAACGUAGCGAAAGUUACGCUAAUACCGCAUACGAUCUGAGGAUGAAAGCGGGGGACCUUCGGGCCUCGCGCGAUCGGAGCGGCCGAUGUCAGAUUAGGUAGUUGGUGGGGUAAAGGCCUACCAAGCCGACGAUCUGUAGCUGGUCUGAGAGGACGACCAGCCACACUGGAACUGAGACACGGCCCAGACUCCUACGGGAGGCAGCAGUGGGGAAUUUUGGACAAUGGGCGCAAGCCUGAUCCAGCCAUUCCGCGUGAAGGACGAAGGCCUUCGGGUUGUAAAAUGCUUUUGUACGGAACGAAAAGGCUCUGGCUAAUACCUGGGGCUCAUGACGGUACCGUAAGAAUAAGCACCGGCUAACUACGUG
RNAcentral lists this ribosomal RNA (484 nucleotides) under uncultured bacterium. RNAcentral's name for it is "partial 16S ribosomal RNA". It matches the Rfam family "Bacterial small subunit ribosomal RNA", at positions 30 to 507 of the family's 1533-position model. The record is from RNAcentral.